GGAUGUGAGGGUGAUCUGGCUGUGACAUCUGUCACACCACUGAUGGCCAGAGUUGAUCUGGUUGGCUGGGCAGGUGUCCCCUUCCUCCCUCACUGCUCCAUGUGCACCCACCGGAAGCAGCGAUCUUGGUGGAAGAGGACGACCUUCCCCGAUAGAGGACCAUUCUUCCAUCAAGGGUAUACAAGGCCGGGCAUGGUGGCUCACGCCUGUAAUCCCAGCACUCUGGGAGGCCAAGGCGGGCAGAUCAUUUGAG
This 253-nucleotide small nuclear RNA is filed under the name Propithecus coquereli (Coquerel's sifaka). RNAcentral's name for it is "7SK RNA (ENSPCOG00000001499.1)". It matches the Rfam family "7SK RNA". From Rfam's summary of the family: 7SK was discovered as an abundant small nuclear RNA in the mid-70s but a possible function has only recently been suggested. Two independent studies have found that 7SK RNA binds the CDK9/cyclin T complex (known as elongation factor P-TEFb). The record is from Rfam by way of RNAcentral. Lineage: Eukaryota; Metazoa; Chordata; Mammalia; Primates; Indriidae.